CCAAAGGCUUUCUAGUAUUCCCCCCUUUUAUUGGAUGCGAACAAAAAGGUUCGUAUCUUUUUUU
Molecule: small RNA, 64 nt
Filed under: Bacillus subtilis
Lineage: Bacteria; Bacillati; Bacillota; Bacilli; Caryophanales; Bacillaceae
Description: Bacillus sRNA ncr1241
Rfam family: Bacillus sRNA ncr1241
Source: RNAcentral